AGUCGCGUGGUCUAGUUGGUUAAGACGCUCCGCUCACAUGUUAUCCGGAUUGGUUCCGGAGAGGUCCCCGGUUCGAGCCCGGGCGCGACUA
Molecule: non-coding RNA, 91 nt
Organism: Aspergillus puulaauensis
Lineage: Eukaryota; Fungi; Ascomycota; Eurotiomycetes; Eurotiales; Aspergillaceae
Source: the annotation of a RefSeq genome assembly